UGGGGAAUCUUCGGCAAUGGACGAAAGCCUGACCGAGCAACGCCGCGUGCGGGAAGAAGGUUUUCGGAUCGUAAAACUCUGUUGUUCGGGACGAACAAAGACGUUAGUAAAUGAACGUCCCCUGACGGUAUCUUACCAGAAAGCCACGGCUAACUACGUGCCAGCAGCCGCGGUAAUACGUAGGUGGCAAGCGUUGUCCGGAUUUAUUGGGCGUAAAGCGAGCGCAGGCGGUUUCGUAAGUCAGAUGUGAAAGCCCCCGGCUCAACCGGGGAGGGUCAUUGGAAACUGGGGGACUUGAGUGCAGAAGAGGAGAGUGGAAUUCCGUGUGUAGCGGUGAAAUGCGUAGAUAUAUGGAGGAACACCAGUGGCGAAGGCGGCUCUCUGGUCUGGAACUGACGCUGAGGCACGAAAGCGUGGGGAGCAAACAGG
Molecule: ribosomal RNA, 429 nt
Filed under: Gemmatimonadota bacterium
Lineage: Bacteria; Pseudomonadati; Gemmatimonadota
Description: Gemmatimonadetes bacterium partial 16S ribosomal RNA
Rfam family: Bacterial small subunit ribosomal RNA
Source: RNAcentral